RNAcentral lists this ribosomal RNA (504 nucleotides) under uncultured bacterium. RNAcentral describes it as "bacterial SSU rRNA". It matches the Rfam family "Bacterial small subunit ribosomal RNA", at positions 28 to 492 of the family's 1533-position model. The record is from RNAcentral.
GACGAACGCUGGCGGCGUGCCUAAUACAUGCAAGUCGAACGCACUCUCGUUUAGAUUGAAGGAGCUUGCUCCUGAUUGAUAAACAUUUGAGUGAGUGGCGGACGGGUGAGUAACACGUGGGUAACCUGCCCUAAAGUGGGGGAUAACAUUUGGAAACAGAUGCUAAUACCGCAUAAAACCUAACACCGCAUGGUGUAGGGUUGAAAGAUGGUUUCGGCUAUCACUUUAGGAUGGACCCGCGGUGCAUUAGUUAGCUGGUGAGGUAAAGGCUCACCAAGACCGUGAUGCAUAGCCGACCUGAGAAGGUAAUCGGCCACACUGGGACUGAGACACGGCCCAGACUCCUACGGGAGGCAGCAGUAGGGAGUCUUCCACAAUGGACGAAAGUCUGAUGGAGCAACGCCGCGUGAGUGAAGAAGGUUUUCGGAUCGUAAAACUCUGUGUUGGAGAAGAAUGUAUCUGAUAGUAACUGAUCAGGUAGUGACGGUAUCCAACCAGAAAGCC